UGGGGAAUAUUGCACAAUGGGGGAAACCCUGAUGCAGCGACGCCGCGUGAGCGAAGAAGGCUUUCGAGUCGUAAAGCUCUGUCCUAUGAGAAGAUAAUGACGGUAUCAUAGGAGGAAGCCCUGGCGAAAUACGUGCCAGCAGCCGCGGUAAUACGUAUGGGGCGAGCGUUGUCCGGAAUUAUUGGGCGUAAAGGGUACGUAGGCGGUUUUUUAAGUCAGGUGUCAAAGCGUGGAGCUUAACUCCAUUAAGCACUUGAAACUGAAAGACUUGAGUGAAGGAGAGGAAAGUGGAAUUCCUAGUGUAGCGGUGAAAUGCGUAGAUAUUAGGAGGAAUACCGGUGGCGAAGGCGACUUUCUGGACUUUUACUGACGCUCAGGUACGAAAGCGUGGGGAGCAAACAGG
This 403-nucleotide ribosomal RNA is filed under the name Verrucomicrobiota bacterium. Its description in RNAcentral is "Verrucomicrobia bacterium partial 16S ribosomal RNA". It matches the Rfam family "Bacterial small subunit ribosomal RNA", at positions 355 to 776 of the family's 1533-position model. The record is from RNAcentral. Lineage: Bacteria; Pseudomonadati; Verrucomicrobiota.